GACGAACCGUGCGAACGUUGUUCGGAUUCACUGGGCUUAAAGGGCGCGUAGGCGGGUGGUCAAGUCAGGGGUGAAAUCUUUCGGCUCAACCGGAAAAGUGCCUUUGAUACUGGCCAUCUCGAGGGAGGUAGGGGCAUGUGGAACUUCCGGUGGAGCGGUGAAAUGCGUAGAUAUCGGAAGGAACGCCGGUGGCGAAAGCGACGUGCUGGACCUUUUCUGACGCUGAGGCGCGAAAGCCAGGGGAGCAAACGGG
This 253-nucleotide ribosomal RNA is filed under the name uncultured bacterium. RNAcentral describes it as "partial 16S ribosomal RNA". It matches the Rfam family "Bacterial small subunit ribosomal RNA", at positions 524 to 776 of the family's 1533-position model. The record is from RNAcentral.